Molecule: small nucleolar RNA, 121 nt
Organism: Jaculus jaculus (lesser Egyptian jerboa)
Lineage: Eukaryota; Metazoa; Chordata; Mammalia; Rodentia; Dipodidae
Product: small nucleolar RNA SNORA40
Exons: 1
Source: RefSeq, a predicted model, not a curated record
AUCAUUUGUGGAUGUUUCUGUGCAGCUUGUAGAGAAAAACUUAUAGACAGGUGCAAACACAUUCUUUUAUAACCCAGAAUCCAUUGCUCAAUAUGAGUUCUGAUAUAGACAAGAAGGAAUU